Molecule: ribosomal RNA, 465 nt
Filed under: uncultured bacterium
Lineage: Bacteria
Description: partial 16S ribosomal RNA
Rfam family: Bacterial small subunit ribosomal RNA
Source: RNAcentral
ACGAACGCUGGCGGUGUGCUUAACACAUGCAAGUCGAACGGUAAGGCCCUUUCGGGGGUACACGAGUGGCGAACGGGUGAGUAACACGUGAGUAACCUGCCCUCAUCUCUGGGAUAACAGUCGGAAACGGUUGCUAAUACUGGAUAUGAGCUUGCAAGGCAUCUUGUGGGUUGGAAAGAUUUUUUUGGUUGGGGAUGGACUCGCGGCCUAUCAGCUUGUUGGUGAGGUGGUGGCUCACCAAGGCUUCGACGGGUAGCCGGCCUGAGAGGGCGACCGGCCACAUUGGGACUGAGAUACGGCCCAAACUCCUACGGGAGGCAGCAGUGGGGAAUAUUGCACAAUGGACGGAAGUCUGAUGCAGCAACGCCGCGUGCGGGAUGACGGCCUUCGGGUUGUAAACCGCUUUCAAUUGUGACGAAGCUUUUUGUGACGGUAGCAGUAGAAGAAGCACCGGCUAACUACGUG